UGGGCUAUCGCCAAAUGGUUAAGGCACAGCACUUUGACUGCUGCAUUUGCUGGUUCGAAUCCAGUUAGCCCAG
This 73-nucleotide transfer RNA is filed under the name Anaerobutyricum soehngenii. Its description in RNAcentral is "tRNA-Gln". It matches the Rfam family "tRNA". Rfam says of the family: Transfer RNA (tRNA) molecules are approximately 80 nucleotides in length. Their secondary structure includes four short double-helical elements and three loops (D, anti-codon, and T loops). Lineage: Bacteria; Bacillati; Bacillota; Clostridia; Lachnospirales; Lachnospiraceae. RNAcentral also lists the same sequence under 4 other names. The record is from RNAcentral.